AAAAAAACUACAAAAUGUGUUUUCUGAAGAGGGGUGGUGGUGGGGUUAAUAAAAAAUAAAAAUAAUAUAUAUUAUUUUUUUAUUAAAAAAGGGAAUCAAUCAAUGUGCAUGAUGAAACAUAGAUAUUCAAACAAACUAUUCUAAAAAAAAUCUGCAACAAAGCAUGCUGUGAUAUAUGCUAAUAAGGCCCCUCCCACAUAUUUUUCACUCAAGAUAGUUACCGGUAAUGAGCUAAACAUAGUUGAGUAACAACAAACGACUGAAAAUAUUUCUUGAAACAAAUGUCCUGUUCAGUUGUGCUGAAAUGUAGGUAAGGUGACAGACAUUCCUAAGUGUGAUCUGAAUAAAAAGGCGUGGAAAGUUACAUCAAUUUCUAAUAACUAAAUUCAUUUUACAACAAGAUGAUGGUAAAGAGAACAUUUGUGUUUAAAAUCUGAACACUUAUGAUGAAUAUUGAAUAAUAGAUAUUCAAACAAACUAUUCUAAAAAAAAUCAACCUGCAACAAAGCAUGCUGUGAAAUAUGCUAAUGAGGCCCCUCCCACAUAUUUUUCACUCAGCCUUCAGACAAUAAUCUCCUCCACGUGUUCCACAUUUUGUUGUGAUACAGCCUGAAUGUGAUACAGCCUGAAUGUGAUAAAGCCUGAAUGUGAUAAAGCCUGAAUGUGAUAAAGCCUGAAUGUGAUAAAGCCUGAAUGUGAUACAGCCUGAAUGUGAUACUGAUUGGCAAAACUUAAUGCCUAAUGUUUAAGUUUUAAACACUGACGUUUAGGUUAUGGAUGUGUUACAUUACAUGGUUUUAGUGUACACACAAAAAAAAAGAGGGUUCCUCAAGGGUUCUUUGGGAAGGGUGAAGGUUCGAUGUGGAACCAUAAUGACUCAAAGAACCCUUUGAGCUCUUCGAUGGUACUUCACAGUUCACAAACGGAUUCUGUCCUCUUUAAGAGAUCAUUCAGAUGUAGGGUGGUGUGUUUGGACCAUGGUAGUAGAGGUGGACAUUAAAGAAACUCUCAACCCUGCUCCACUAGAAAACUAUUUUCAUCUCAAAGUCAUCUGUCCGACCCGCAGGUCCCUCAGGCAGCCCUCCAGUGCAGUCAGCACACAACACCAUGCUCAUCAUGUCUUAUCAGGAUCAGAUAGUGACAGGGGUCCGAGGGGGGGUCAGACAACCAGGGAAGACAUGUCUACGGAGCUCAGGUGAAUUUUUGCAGUAUGUUAACAAUAUCUUGAAAUUGAUGGGUAGACCUACAGUAUCUACAGGACAGCAGCUUAAAGCUACAGUCUGGGUUCUGGGAAUAACAGUAAUUUCAAUUACUGAACUAUUGAUUCUAUUCUUGGAUAAUAUAACGUAUAAAUGUAUACCAUGGUAGUUCUUUGUCAUGCCUCAUUUUAGGAGGAUCAGAUGGUGACAGGGGUCUCAGCAGGGUCAGACAGCCAGGGAAGACUAGUCUGUGAUGGUGCUGAGGUCAGGCAGGGAAGACUAGUCUGUGAUGGUGCUGAGGUCAGACAGCCAGGGAAGACCAGUCUGUGAUGGUGCUGAGGUCAGACAGCCAGGGAAGACCAGUCUGUGAUGGUGCUGAGGUCAGACAGCCAGGGAAGACCAGUCUGUGAUGGUGCUGAGGUCAGACAGCCAGGGAAGACCAGUCUGUGAUGGUGCUGAGGUCAGUCAGCCAGGGAAGACCAGUCUGUGAUGGUGCUGAGGUCAGACAGGGAAGACUAGUCUGUGAUGGUGCUGAGGUCAGACAGCCAGGGAAGACCAGUCUAUGAUUGUGCUGAGGUCAGGCAGGGAAGACCAGUCUGUGAUGGUGCUGAGGUCAGGCAGGGAAGACCAGUCUGUGAUGGUGCUGAGGUCAGACAGGGAAGACUAGUCUGUGAUGGUGCUGAGGUCAGACAGGGAAGACUAGUCUGUGAUGGUGCUGAGGUCAGACAGGGAAGACUAGUCUGUGAUGGUGCUGAGGUCAGACAGGGAAGACUAGUCUGUGAUGGUGCUGAGGUCAGACAGGGAAGACUAGUCUGUGAUGGUGCUGAGGUCAGACAGGGAAGACCAGUCUGUGAUGGUGCUGAGGUCAGACAGGGAAGACCAGUCUGUGAUGGUGCUGAGGUCAGACAGCCAGGGAAGACCAGUCUGUGAUGGUGCUGAGGUCAGGCAACCAGGGAAGACCAGUCUGUGAUGGUGCUGAG
Molecule: long non-coding RNA, 2179 nt
Organism: Oncorhynchus keta (chum salmon)
Lineage: Eukaryota; Metazoa; Chordata; Actinopteri; Salmoniformes; Salmonidae
Exons: 5
Source: RefSeq, a predicted model, not a curated record